CAUAUCAAUAAGCGGAGGAAAAGAAACCAACAGGGAUUGCCUUAGUAACUGCGAGUGAAGCGGCAAGAGCUCAAAUUUGAAAUCUGGCACCUUCGGUGUCCGAGUUGUAAUUUGUAGAAGCAUCUUUUGGAUUGGUCCUUGCAUAUGUUCCUUGGAACAGGACAUCAUAGAGGGUGAGAAUCCCGUUCAUGGUGGGGAAUCCAAUUCUUUGUAAAGUGCUUUCGAAGAGUCGAGUUGUUUGGGAAUGCAGCUCUAAGUGGGUGGUAAAUUCCAUCUAAAGCUAAAUAUUGGCGAGAGACCGAUAGCGAACAAGUACAGUGAUGGAAAGAUGAAAAGAACUCCGAAAGGAGAGUGAAAAAGGACGUGAAAUUGUUGAAAGGGAAGUGCUUGAGAUCAGUCUUAAGGUUUAGUGAUCAGUCUUCCUUUUGGUUGGUGCACUCACUAUUUCUUAGGCCAACAUCAGUUUUGGCGGCAGGAUAAUGACAUUGGAAUGUGGCUCUUUCGGGAGUGUUAUAGCCUUUGUUGAUACUGCCUGCUUAGACUGAGGACUGCGCUUUUGCUAGGAUGUUGGCAUAAUGAUCUUAAGCAGC
RNAcentral lists this ribosomal RNA (590 nucleotides) under Lipomyces starkeyi. RNAcentral describes it as "eukaryotic LSU rRNA". It matches the Rfam family "Eukaryotic large subunit ribosomal RNA", at positions 39 to 648 of the family's 3401-position model. The record is from RNAcentral. Lineage: Eukaryota; Fungi; Ascomycota; Lipomycetes; Lipomycetales; Lipomycetaceae.